GCCUGGCUGGCUCAGUUGGAAGAGCAUGCCACUGUUGAUCUCAGGUUUGUGAGUUCGAGCCCCACGUUGGGUG
RNAcentral lists this transfer RNA (73 nucleotides) under Felis catus (domestic cat). It matches the Rfam family "tRNA". Rfam says of the family: Transfer RNA (tRNA) molecules are approximately 80 nucleotides in length. The record is from Rfam by way of RNAcentral. Lineage: Eukaryota; Metazoa; Chordata; Mammalia; Carnivora; Felidae. RNAcentral also lists the same sequence under 4 other names.